RNAcentral lists this ribosomal RNA (450 nucleotides) under uncultured bacterium. Its description in RNAcentral is "bacterial SSU rRNA". It matches the Rfam family "Bacterial small subunit ribosomal RNA", at positions 947 to 1394 of the family's 1533-position model. The record is from RNAcentral.
CAAUUCGACGCAACGCGAAGAACCUUACCAGCCCUUGACAUGUCCCGUAUGGGUUUCAGAGAUGAGACCCUUCAGUUCGGCUGGCGGGAACACAGGUGCUGCAUGGCUGUCGUCAGCUCGUGUCGUGAGAUGUUGGGUUAAGUCCCGCAACGAGCGCAACCCUCGCCCUUAGUUGCCAUCAUUUAGUUGGGCACUCUAAGGGGACUGCCGGUGAUAAGCCGCGAGGAAGGUGGGGAUGACGUCAAGUCCUCAUGGCCCUUACAGGCUGGGCUACACACGUGCUACAAUGGCGGUGACAAUGGGAGGCAAUGGAGCGAUCCUGCGCAAAUCUCAAAAAGCCGUCUCAGUUCGGAUUGCACUCUGCAACUCGAGUGCAUGAAGUUGGAAUCGCUAGUAAUCGUGGAUCAGCAUGCCACGGUGAAUACGUUCCCGGGCCUUGUACACUCCGCC